This 490-nucleotide ribosomal RNA is filed under the name uncultured bacterium. Its description in RNAcentral is "partial 16S ribosomal RNA". It matches the Rfam family "Bacterial small subunit ribosomal RNA", at positions 30 to 507 of the family's 1533-position model. The record is from RNAcentral.
AUUGAACGCUGGCGGCAGGCCUAACACAUGCAAGUCGAACGGUAACAGGAAGCAGCUUGCUGCUUUGCUGACGAGUGGCGGACGGGUGAGUAAUGUCUGGGAAACUGCCCGAUGGAGGGGGAUAACUACUGGAAACGGUAGCUAAUACCGCAUAACGUCGCAAGACCAAAGAGGGGGACCUUAGGGCCUCUUGCCAUCGGAUGUGCCCAGAUGGGAUUAGCUAGUAGGUGGGGUAACGGCUCACCUAGGCGACGAUCCCUAGCUGGUCUGAGAGGAUGACCAGCAACACUGGAACUGAGACACGGUCCAGACUCCUACGGGAGGCAGCAGUGGGGAAUAUUGCACAAUGGGCGCAAGCCUGAUGCAGCCAUGCCGCGUGUAUGAAGAAGGCCUUCGGGUUGUAAAGUACUUUCAGCGGGGAGGAAGGGAGUAAAGUUAAUACCUUUGCUCAUUGACGUUACCCGCAGAAGAAGCACCGGCUAACUCCGUG